This is a long non-coding RNA of Numida meleagris (helmeted guineafowl), 1993 nucleotides long. The record is from Ensembl. NCBI's taxonomy places the organism in Eukaryota, Metazoa, Chordata, Aves, Galliformes, Numididae.
UGGGGCUGUAAAAGUUGGAUGUGGGUCGCUAUGGGUUGUUAGGGGUCACUAUGGGUCUCUGUGGGUCUCUAUGGGUCCAAUAUGGGUCUCUACGGGUACUUAUGGGUGGGAUGUGGGUCGCUAUGGGUCUCUAUGGGUUGUUAUGGGUCACUAUGGGUCUCUAUGGGUGGGAUGUGGGUCGCUAUGGGUCGCUGUGGGGCAGGGAGCCGUGGCUGUGGGUCCUUAUGGGUUGGAUGUGGGUCUCUAUGGGGCUAGAUGGAUUGGAUUUGGGUCUCUAUGGGUUGUUAUGGCUCACUAUGGGUCUCUAUGGGUCCCUAUGGGUGGGAUGUGGGUCGCUAUGGGGCAGGGAGACGUGGUUGUGGGUCCUUAUGGGUCACGAUGGGUCUCUAUGGAUCCUUAUGGGUUGGAUGUGGGUCGCUAUGGGUCUCUAUGGGUUGUUAUGGGUCUCUAUGGGUGGGCUGUGGGUCGCUAUGGGUCUCUAUGGGUUGUUAUGGCUCACUAUGGGUCUCUAUGGGUCCCUAUGGGUGGGAUGUGGGUCGCUAUGGGUCGCUGUGGGGCAGGGAGCCGUGGUUGUGGGUCCUUAUGGGUCACUAUGGGUCUCUAUGGGUCCUUAUGGGUCGGAUGUGGGUCUCUAUGAGUCACUAUGGGUCUCUGUGGGUCUCUGUGGGUCCCUAUGGGUGGGAUGUGGGUCGCUAUGGGUCUCUAUGGGUUGUUAUGGGUCGUUAUGGGUCUCUGUGGGUCUCUAUGGGGCUGUAAAGGUUCUAUGUGGGUUGCUAUGGGUCUCUGUGGGUUGUUAUGGCUCACUAUGGGUCUCUAUGGGUGGGAUGUGGGUCGCUAUAGGUCGCUGUGGGGCAGGGAGCCGUGGUUGUGGGUCCUUAAUGGGUGGGAUGCGGGUCGCUAUGGGUCUCUAUGGGUCUCUGUGGGUCUCCAUGGGUCCAAUGUGGGUCUCUAUGGGUCCCUAUGGGUGGGAUGUGGGCCACUAUGGGUCGCUGUGGGGCAGGAAGCUGUGGUUGUGGGUCCUUAUGGGUCUCUAUGGGUCUCUGUGGGUCUCUAUGGGUCCCUAUGGGUGGGAUGUGGGUCGCUAUGGGGCAGGGAGCCGUGGUUGUGGGUCUUUAUGGGUCGGAUGUGGGUCGCUAUGAGUCUCUAUGGGUCUCUAUGGGUCAGACGUGGGUCUCUAUGGGUCCCUAUUGGUGGGAUGUGGGUCACUAUGGGUCUCUAUGUGUCACUAUGGGGCAGGGAGCCGUAGUUGUGGGUCCGUAUGGGUCGGAUGUGGGUCUCUAUGGGUCAGACGUGGGUCUCUAUGGGUCUCUAUGGGUCCCCAUUGGUGGGAUGUGGGUCACUAUGGGUCUCUAUGGGUCGCUAUGGGGCAGGGAGCCGUAGUUGUGGGUCCUUAUGGGUUGGAUGUGGGUCGCUAUGGGUCUCUGUGGGUCUCUAUGGGUCCCUAUGGGUGGGAUGUGGGUCGCUAUGGGUUGUUAUGGGUCACUAUGGGUCUCUAUGGGUCUCUAUGGGUGGGAUGUGGGUCACUAUGGGUCUCUAUGGGUUGUUAUGGGUCACUAUGGGUCUCUGUGGGUCCCUAUGGGUGGGAUGUGGGUCGCUAUGGGUCUCUAUGGGUCCGACGUGGGUCUCUAUGGGUCCCUAUGGGUGGGACGUGGGUCACUAUGGGUCUCUAUGGGUCUCUGUGGGUCUCUAUGGGUCCCUAUGGGUGGGAUGUGGGUCGCUAUGGGUCUCUAUGGGUUGUUAUGGGUCGCUAUGGGUCUCUAUGGGUUGUUAUGGGUCACUAUGGGUCUCUAUGGGUCCCUACGGGUGGGCUGUGGGUCGCUAUGGGUCGCCGUGGGGCAGGGAGCCGUGGUUCGAGGAGAACCGUGGGGCAGCCCUGGGCGGUGUGGGGCUGGCCGCCAGCUCGGGGCCCGGCGCCAUGAUGCAGCUGAAGGUGACGGCGCUGAUGAAGGCUGAGCUCUGCGUGAGUGGGGGGAAAGGGGGGAAAAAUGGGGAG